RNAcentral lists this unclassified non-coding RNA (316 nucleotides) under Entoloma rusticoides. RNAcentral describes it as "partial internal transcribed spacer region". The stretch from base 1 to 46 matches the Rfam family "Eukaryotic small subunit ribosomal RNA", at positions 1786 to 1831 of the family's 1831-position model. The record is from RNAcentral. Lineage: Eukaryota; Fungi; Basidiomycota; Agaricomycetes; Agaricales; Entolomataceae.
AAGUCGUAACAAGGUUUCCGUAGGUGAACCUGCGGAAGGAUCAUUAUUGAAUAAACUUGGUUGGGUUGUUGCUGGCUCCUAGGAGCAUGUGCACGCCUAAUCCAUUUUUAACCCACCUGUGCACCUUUUGUAGACUUGAAUAGCCUUCGAGACAAAUGUACUCGGUUUGAGAAUUGCUGUGUGAAAAGCUCAGCUCUUCUUGUGUUCAAGUCUAUGUUUUAUAUUAUACCCCAUAAGAAUGUAUUAGAAUGUAAUGAACAGGCCAUCGUGCCUUUAAACACAAAUACAACUUUCAACAACGGAUCUCUUGGCUCUC